UUGCUGCCAGUUUGGAACAGGAAAAAUUCUGUGUAAAUCUUUCCUCCCUAAUAAAAUCUAGUGCAAAACCUCCAUGCAUCUGAAGGAUUCUGCUGCAGCACCUUACAGUAUGUGGAGACCAUUUUCUUCCUGAAAAGAUUUUACUGUGCCUUUAUGCUAACUUCAUCAGAAAAAAAAGCACCCUCUAAAAUUCAGGGCCAUUUUGGAGAUGCUGCUAUCCUUCAUUAACUAAUUUGCUGUUUUAUUGAAACCACAAAUUUGUGGGGAACAAUUCUGUGCCAGACCUUUUCAAUGGGCUGGUUGUGCUCAGGUAAGCGCUCAGUACUGCAAAAGUUGCACAAUCCAGCCCUUCAGCUUGUGUGAGAAUAUCCUUUUACAAGCUCUAAGAUCAGGAGAAGUGCCUGCAAUAUUUUUACUUCAGUGCAGUUCUCUUUAGCAAUGAAGGACUGUGUGUAUGAGAUGUUUAUUGGGCAAACGCCAUGGCUUCAAACUCCUGCAAGUGAAACUGCCUUUAUUGAUUUUCACUGUCCCAGGCAUGCCAAAAGAAAAUACAUACACCAAAUGAGGAUCUUCAGAUGCCAUUUGGGGAUAAAUGUUUACAAAGACAUGAGUUACAGACAAAGAAACAUGCUCGUGGCUGAAAAAAAGUUUCCAAGCUUUAUGUUGUCUCUGUAUUUGCUGAUCUGGUUCAGCCAAGGAAAUAGCAGUGAGUGCCUGGCUGGUCAGCCCUGCCCUGGUGCCUGGAUCCAGAAUUGGGCAGGGAGCAGACAUAUGGCUGAGGAAGCAGGUCACUCCUUUUGUCUGCUCUGUGUAUUUUGCUGAAGCCUCAAGAGGAGAGCCAGACAGUGAUAUUCAUUCCAGUGGCACUGAGCAGCGGACACUAGCCUGCUGGGAAAAGAUCCAACACCAUCAAUUCGUUUUCAUUUCCCAUGAAUGGAAGGAGCUGGUGAAGGUUCAUGGAGACAUGGUUGCUCUGGCACAGCCUUCAUGAGGCUGGAUGGAUCCUGGGCAGGUGGGACAUUACUUUGGUUGUUUUGGUCAGCCUACAAUUUGCUGAAGGAAUCGGGCCUUACAGGGCUAUAGGGCUUCAUGAACAACUUUAAUUUUCUCUUUCCCUAUCCUGACUCAGAUCCUCAGGUGAAGAAGGUGUGAAGCUUUGAUUCAAAACUCCACAUCCUACAGCUGAUGUCUUAGGUGACCCUGUCCCACAUUUAACAGCAAGUUAAUUUGGUUUCUGUAUUUUAAAAAAAUACACGGAAGUCUCUGACCUUUUCACUUGAGUUAAACAUAUAUGCAAAGGCAGGGUAUGAUCACAGUGGAGGGUGGUGUUGCAGUACUGCCUUUAAGUUGGCUGGUCUGACCAGCCGUGUCAUGGAUGUCAGCAAGAGGUCUUGAGACUCUACUUCGAAUGUUUGUAAAAAUACCUUCCCUAAUGUUGCUGGCACAGCCCUGACUGCACACACAGGAACCCCACCUUCAGUUGCUGGUAGGUGGCUCUGAUUCCCUGUGCUCUUGGUGCCAAGGGAUUUUGCAAUUUUUUUUGUGUAACUUGGAUGGAAAGUGGUAUUUCGGUGUUUUUUCUGUGACUGCUGCUUUUACUCUCCUUCCCCUGAUAUAUAUCUUGGAGAGUUUAUACAUCUUAAUGAAAUUAUGCAAAGAGGAGGGGGUGCCCAGAGGAAAGGAGGGAGUGGAAAAAUUAUAUAAGCUUCCAGAAAUAACAUGGAAACCAAUUUUUUUCUCUAGUACUGAAAUCCUGUUCUAGAUGACUAAAUUAAAAGUGUUUGUAGUAAUACACUGAAGAGACAAUGUAAGUGUACAAGUGUCUGCUAGGAACACCCACCUGAAUGGGAUUCCACCUGUACAAGCACUACCACUAGAGAUUUUUACUGGCACAGCUGGGGGUUUUUUAGGGGACAGGCACUGGGAUGGCCCCUUUCAAGUGCCAUGAAUCACAGUUUUCUGAGGUGGUUGUGGAGCAGUCUUUGGCUCCACACAUGAAUUCCACUGAACAAGAGCAAUGCAGGAAAAAUUUCUUGUACAUCAUAUGAGGCUAAAGCUGGAGCCAGUCUAGCCCAUGUCUGUUCCCAGGGCAGCCAACUUACACGUGGUCUCUGACUCACACCUAGCUGGAACUGGCCUUUAUAUGUGUGUGUGAGCUAGGCAACCAGAGUGCUUGGUGCCAGUGUGAGGCUUUGCCCCCAGUAUAUCCUUUUCCAAAGCGUGGUAUUUUGUGUGCAGGAAUGUGGCAGGGGGCAAGGCAAGCCGAUUGCUUUGUGGAAUGCUAGUCCUGGUGGCCUGGGUCUCUGGGCCUAACAUUAUGCUAGAUGUAUAUGUUUGCAUUUAUUAUUGCCUCAUGAAAAAUACAUAAGCAGAUAUCUCUCACUCUGUAGCUUUCUGUUAGUUUGCCUGUAGUUGUUGUAGUCUUAACUGGGAAGGGAGAAGGAAAAAGGGAGAGGUGUAUCUCAGCCACAGGACAGAUCUGGGUCAGAGCCCAGAAUAAACUCAGUUCACCGGUACCCAUAGCUUGAGGUGACUGGGCUGGGUGGAAAUUGUUGACAGGAGGGGGAAAUGUAUGCAUUUCCUUUUUGUUUGAAUUGUGAUUUGACCUUUCUGUCACAGAUUGCAUAACAUACAUCACUUAGAAGGUUAAAAUACAAGUCUUCAUGACUCACUCCCAGAGCUACCUAAAAUACUUCUGGGAUUUGUGCAGGGGAAUCUCAGUGGUGAAGGGGGUGAAUCUAAUAACCUUGUAGAAGUUGAGGUUACAUGUCCCUUGGUAGCAAAAAAAGGUGAAAAAAACCUGCCUUUGAAUCCCCCAUCACCACAAUACUCACUCCUGCCCUUUCUCAGAAGUUCCUUUCAGGAGAGCUGAUUCAGCUGUUUGUCUGGCUGCACAUAAACGGGACGAAAGAAUGAGAUUUUGAAAAGCCCUCAAAAAGGGAGGGUUGUGAACCUGUGCAGAAAACACAUGUUGUGCACCCAUAUUAAGAUCUAUAGUUAUGCUUAGAUGAGGUUAUCUGCACUUAAAGUGCUUCUGGAUUUGGACCACAGAUGAUGAGGCUUGCUGGAAUCACGUGCCCAAGAAGUAUAUGACCCUGGAGCACAGAGCUGAGUGAAAGCCAUGUUUCGCUAGGAUUUUUGAGAGGCAGCCAGCACUGUUUUCAAAGUGCUCUCAAGUAUUGUGGAGUAAAUGUUGACAGAUACUGCAAUACUCACACUGAUGAAUACGCUCAGGCUGCAUUGAGCAUCUCUACGUUUGUGCCAGGACUUGAGACCCAGCAUAACAAGUGCAAUACAAGAGGAGGAGGAAGGAAAAACUGAUAGUGGGCAGGUGCUUUCUAUCAUUUUCUGGAUGAGCUGCUUUGGCCUCAGCGGAAGAAGCUGUCCCCAGGCAGAAAGAGCUGUUCUGUGGAGCGGAGCAGGCAGACUUACCAGGGCACAAGUCAUUUUUCAGACCACAGAGUGAAGUUUCUUUCCCAGGGCAGAGCUGGGGGCAUCAGUGUCAAGGCACGAAUCUCCCUGAUACCCUGGAGCUGCUGCCCUGAUGGCUGACACAUGUGGGAGGGUGUGGGGGGUGGCACAGCACCCACCUUUUGCAGUUACUAAGCCUACGUGGUCUCCAGACCAAGGCUCCAAAGUGAGUUUACCAGCACAAUUAUUGAGCUAACAGUGUGUAAUCAUCAGAUGUUUCACAGAAAUCAGAAUGUUUGGAGGCUCCUCAUUGCAGAUUAAGUCAAGGCACAAGUGGAAAGCACAGAGAAUAAUUAUUUUCAGCAUUAAAUUUUCAGAUCACACUACAUG
This is a long non-coding RNA of Chiroxiphia lanceolata (lance-tailed manakin), 3801 nucleotides long. RefSeq lists it as uncharacterized. The transcript is spliced from 2 exons. The record is from RefSeq and is a predicted model, not a curated record. Lineage: Eukaryota; Metazoa; Chordata; Aves; Passeriformes; Pipridae.